Molecule: long non-coding RNA, 768 nt
Organism: Bos taurus (domestic cattle)
Lineage: Eukaryota; Metazoa; Chordata; Mammalia; Artiodactyla; Bovidae
Source: Ensembl
CUUGUUCAGCUCUUGGUCAUAAAGUUGUCCUCAGCCUGUCUGUGUGGUCCUGAAGGGUCGGUGGCGGGCAGUUUCCAAAAUUGAGGUAAUAGGAGAUCAGAUGAAUUUGAGACGACCGGCCAAGAAAAAUAAAAAAUUUAAAAACAACAUUUAAAAAGGAUGGGGGAGUCUCAAAUGUUUAGGUCUCCCCCACUUAAAAUAAAAUCACUAGUAUUUUUUAAUAUUUCCGUUGCACUUCAAUCUUCUAACUCUUAAAAGAAAAUGUUAUCUGUGCUUUGAAAAUAAAUUAACUUUAUUUUAUUUUAUGCUCUAGUUCCUUUCCCCUAAUAUCGGAAAGUCUCUGCUCUCUUUUUGUAUUAAAGAGAAAAAAAAAAAAAAAGCCUGGUGAAAACUCAGCAGAACCCAGGAAGCGUAGAAUCAGGAGAAUGUCUUUGGCUGGGGCUGGUUCAAGUCCCUGGUUCAAUGGGCUGCUGGAAGCCAGGACUGGGUAAUUCUUUCCAGACGUCUUGACUUCUCCUUCCUCGCGGUUGUUGCCUUUCUGCCUCCUCCAACUUAAGGGGGUCUUAACAAGUGAGCUGGCAGCUUCUUUACCCACUGAACCACCAGGGAAGCCCGACCACUUUCCAAUGCAGAGGACAGGCUGGAUCCCACAUGCCUCAGGGCAAUUAUGUCUCAACUUGAGAGCCUGCAAAUGGAGGUCCUGGUAAGGAACACGAAACUGAUAAACCACCACAAACUGGAAGAGUUGGGAAAAGAUCAAAAGGAGAC